RNAcentral lists this ribosomal RNA (354 nucleotides) under uncultured eukaryote. RNAcentral describes it as "partial 18S ribosomal RNA". It matches the Rfam family "Eukaryotic small subunit ribosomal RNA", at positions 1470 to 1796 of the family's 1831-position model. The record is from RNAcentral.
CCCUUAGAUGUUUUCGGCGGCACGCGCUCUACAAUGGAUAGCUCAACACGUUUUUGUUGGAGUCUUUCUCUCCUUUUGGGGAGGGACUCGUUCCGUGCUAGAAAUGGCUCGGCAAUCGAAAAUGCUAUUCGUAUUGGGGAUUGAUCUUUGUAAUUUUCGAUCAUGAACGAGGAAUGUCUAGUAAGGCCAAGUCAUCAACUUGGCCUGAAUACGUCCCUGCAAUUUGUACACACCGCCCGUCGCACCUACCGAUCGAACGUCGCGACGAGAAUUUGGGAGCAUCGACGCCUUGUUUGGGGUGUUGGAGUGAACUUGUUCAAGUCUCGUUGUUUAGAGGAAGGUGAAGUCGUANCA